GACAAACGCUGGCGGCGUGCAUAAAACAUGCAAGUCGAACGGACCAAAGCCGCAAGGCCGAGGUUAGUGGCGAACGGCUGAGUAACACGUAGGUGACCUGCCCCGAAGUGGGGGAUAACUCCUCGAAAGAGGUGCUAAUACCGCAUGUGACCACCGGUUCAUACCGGUGCUCAAAGUCGCAAGACGCUUUGGGAGGGGCCUGCGGCCGAUUAGCUUGUUGGUGGGGUAAUGGCCUACCAAGGCAGCGAUCGGUAGCUGGUCUGAGAGGAUGACCAGCCAGACUGGGACUGAGACACGGCCCAGACUCCUACGGGAGGCAGCAGUGGGGAAUAUUGGACAAUGGGCGCAAGCCUGAUCCAGCCAUGCCGCGUGAGUGAUGAAGG
Molecule: ribosomal RNA, 383 nt
Filed under: uncultured bacterium
Lineage: Bacteria
Description: bacterial SSU rRNA
Rfam family: Bacterial small subunit ribosomal RNA
Source: RNAcentral